Molecule: unclassified non-coding RNA, 258 nt
Filed under: Hevea brasiliensis (rubber tree)
Lineage: Eukaryota; Viridiplantae; Streptophyta; Magnoliopsida; Malpighiales; Euphorbiaceae
Source: RNAcentral
GGUUUAUCUCCACAAAUGCUUUGAAUUAGAUUUUCCAAUGUGCGAUUGACCACUUUAGUUUGGCCAUCACUUUGAGGACGUGAUGUACUAUUGAAAUUAAAAAAUGAAUGAAAAAGUUUCCACAAGGUCCUCAAAAAGUGUCUCAAGAACUUACUAUUUCAAUCUUAAGUGAUUGAUUUAGGCAUCCCAUGCAAAUAAACCACUUGAAGAACGAUUUUGCAACUGAAUUGCAUUGGAAGUCUUUCUACAAGGAAUAAA